RNAcentral lists this non-coding RNA (21 nucleotides) under Caenorhabditis elegans. Lineage: Eukaryota; Metazoa; Nematoda; Chromadorea; Rhabditida; Rhabditidae. The record is from RNAcentral.
UUCGUUUCUUGCCUAUUGUGC